UCUUUCAAGGUGAACACCACGCGGGGACUCGGCACCCACAGCCACCGAGCAAACACCGCCAGCGACGCGGCUCUCCCCGAGGGGCGAACAAACGCCACGCUCGGGGGGCAGCCGGCCCCCCACGGCCCCCCACGGCCCCCCGGCACCCACAGCCGGCCGCUGGGGGCUGCGACUGUCGCACGGCGGGGGCGCAGGGCUCGGAGACGGCCUCCAGAUCAAGAAAUCAGAAUAAAUAAGGCGAGGAGAAGGCCCGCCGCCCCCCGGCACAACAAAGGCCGCCGGAGCGGUCCGGCGCCGCCGCCGCCGAGCUCCCUUCAGGGCCCCGCAGGCCGGAGACCCCCGCGGGCAGGGAACGCGGCGACAAAAACGAAGGGAAAGGGGCCGGGGGCUGGGAGCGGAGGCCGAGGCCACCUGCGCCCCGGCAUCCCCAGGGAGCGGGCGGCCACCACGGCCUGCGGCCGGGCCGAAGGAGCGGGCAGGCGGCGGGGGGCCCGCGUAGGGGCCGGCGGCGGAGCAACAAAGCGGCGGGGCCCGGGCAGCGGCGGGCACUCACCGGGCGGCGACAGGCAGGGGGCUCCGGGGGGCCCGGCCCUGCCCGCCGGGGCGGGGGGGGGGGGCGGCGGGCGGCCCCUCCUCUCCUCUCCCCUCCCCAGCUGCCCUCACUCACGGAGCGGCACAGGGGGCCGCGGACCGGGCCCAGAGGGCGGCUCCCCCGCUGAGGCCCGGGCGGGCUCCGGCGGGAGGCACCGCUGCAGCGCGCUGCGGCCGGGGUCGUCGCGGCCCCAUCAAGGCCGGGCCGGGCGAGGCGGGGCGGGGCGGAGGGAGCGGGGCCGCUCCCCGUGGCGGCCGGUGGCCAUCUUAGUCCUCCUCCUUCUCCGCGGUACCGAGUGCCCCCUCCCCGCCAGGCUGCCAGCGCUGCCUCCUCCCUCCCGCCCUCCGCUCCUCCUCCUCCUGGCUGGCUGCGGCCGCUGCCGCUCCCGUGCUCGGGUUUGGUUUGGCCCGGCCGGCCCAGCAGAGGGGCUGGGUAAUGGCGGGCGGAGGGAGCGGCGCCUCACGGGGCUGCCCACCGCACCGCCCCGGCGCUGUCCCCGCUCUCUCUGGGCUGCAGCUGUUUUUCAAUGUAUUUGCGGACUAUUAGCUCGAUUUUUAGCAGCUUCGGGGGCCCGUGGAGUCAGGCGGCGAGUUACGUGCCUCCCCCUCCUCCUGGCAGACGCCCGCCGCCCCUUGUGCCCCUCUCCUCAGCGCUACCCCCGGCGCCCAGCAGCCUGA
RNAcentral lists this long non-coding RNA (1269 nucleotides) under Anas platyrhynchos platyrhynchos (common mallard). Its description in RNAcentral is "lncRNA (ENSAPLG00000021561.1)". Lineage: Eukaryota; Metazoa; Chordata; Aves; Anseriformes; Anatidae. The record is from RNAcentral.